CCUACGGGUGGCAGCAGUGGGGAAUAUUGGGCAAUGGGCGCAAGCCUGACCCAGCAACGCCGCGUGAAGGUAGAAGGCUUUCGGGUUGUAAACUUCUUUUGACAGGGAAGAGUAGAAGACAGUACCUGUCGAAUAAGCCACGGCUAACUACGUGCCAGCAGCCGCGGUAAUACGGAGGUGGCAAGAGUUGUCCGGAUUUACGGGUUGUAAGGGGCGUGUAGCCGGGUUGACAAGUCAGAUGUGAAAGCCUGCGGCUUAACGGCAGAACUGCCUUUGAAACUGUUGAUCUUGAGUACUGGAGAGGUAGACGGAAUGUCUAGUGUAGCGGUGAAAUGCGUAGAUAUUAGGAGGAACACCAGUGGCGAAGGCGGUCUGCUGGACAGCAAUUGACGGUGAGGCGCGAAAGCGUGGGGAGCAAACAGGAUUAGAUACCCCAGUAGUC
Molecule: ribosomal RNA, 442 nt
Filed under: uncultured bacterium
Lineage: Bacteria
Description: partial 16S ribosomal RNA
Rfam family: Bacterial small subunit ribosomal RNA
Source: RNAcentral